CCUACGGGAGGCAGCAGUGGGGAAUAUUGGACAAUGGGGGGAAGCCUGAUCCAGCAACGCCGCGUGAGUGAAGAAGGCUCUCGGGAUGUAAACCUCUAUCAGCGGGGAAGAGGAGAUGACGGUACCUGAUGAAUAAGCCCCGGCUAACUACGUGCCAGCAGCCGCGGUAAUACGUAGGUGGCAAGCGUUAUCCGGAAUUACUGGGUGUAAAGGGAGCGUAGCCGGAGAGGUAAGUCUGGUGUGAAAGGCGGGGGCCCAACCCCCGGACUGCACUGGAAACUAUGUCCCUGGAGUGCAGGAGAGGUGAGCGGAAUUCCUAGUGUAGCGGUGAAAUGCGUAGAUAUUAGGAGGAACACCAGUGGCGAAGGCGGCUUACUGGACUGUAACUGACGUUGAGGCGCGAAAGCGUGGGGAGCAAACAGGAUUAGAUACCCGAGUAGUC
This 442-nucleotide ribosomal RNA is filed under the name uncultured bacterium. Its description in RNAcentral is "partial 16S ribosomal RNA". It matches the Rfam family "Bacterial small subunit ribosomal RNA", at positions 338 to 795 of the family's 1533-position model. The record is from RNAcentral.